This 520-nucleotide small RNA is filed under the name uncultured Archaeospora. Its description in RNAcentral is "SSU rRNA". It matches the Rfam family "Eukaryotic small subunit ribosomal RNA", at positions 569 to 1091 of the family's 1831-position model. The record is from RNAcentral. Lineage: Eukaryota; Fungi; Glomeromycota; Glomeromycetes; Archaeosporales; Archaeosporaceae.
AGCAGCCGCGGUAAUUCCAGCUCCAAUAGCGUAUAUUAAAGUUGUUGCAGUUAAAAAGCUCGUAGUUGAAUUUUGGAUUCUUCCAAUUGGUCCAUCUUUUAGAUGAGUACUGGUUGUGUGGGGUCUAUCCGCCUGGUGAUACGUAAUGUCCUUUAUUGGGUGUUGCGGGUAGUCAGGACCUUUACCUUGAAAAAAUUAGAGUGUUUAAAGCAGGCUUAUGCCGGAAUACAUUAGCAUGGAAUAAUAGAAUAGGACGAAGUUGUUUUAUUUUGUUGGUUUCUAGGACAACCGUAAUGAUUAAUAGGGAUAGUUGGGGGCAUUAGUAUUCAAUUGUCAGAGGUGAAAUUCUUGGAUUUAUUGAAGACUAACUACUGCGAAAGCAUUUGCCAAGGAUGUUUUCAUUAAUCAAGAACGAAAGUUAGGGGAUCGAAGACGAUCAGAUACCGUCGUAGUCUUAACCAUAAACUAUGCCGACUAGGGAUCGGGCGAUGUUGUUUCCAUGACUCGCUCGGCACCUUAU